GUUCGGUUUUGGAUUAGGGUUAGGAUUAGUGUAGGGUAAGGGUUAGGGUUAGGGUUAGGUAAGUGUUAGGGAUUAGGUUAGCUUAUGGUUACAAUUGUGGUUUGAGUUAUGAAUGUGCAAAAGUUAAGGUUAUGGUUAGGGUUUGUGUUAGGUUUAAGGUUAGAUUGUUGGUUUGUGUUAGGUUUACUGUUAUGGUUAGGGUUAGGGAUAGGUUUAGUGUUAGGGUUAUGUGUAAGUUUCUGAUUAUGGUUAGGGUUAGGGUUAAUGUUUCACUUAGGGUUAGAGUUAGGUUUUGGGUUUGUGUUAGGGUUAGGGUUAGAAAUAUUGUUAGGGAUAGGGUUAAGGUUAGGGUGAGGUAUAGGGUUAGGAUUAGGGUUAGGGUUAGGAUUAGUGUUAGGGUUAUGGUUAGGAUUAGAAUUAGGUUUAGGGUUAUAGUUAGGUUUAGUGUUAGGUUUAGGGUUAGGAUUAGUGUUAGUGUUAGUGUUUUGGUUCUGGUUACUUAUAUGGUUAGGUUUAGUGUUAGGAUUAGGGUUCAUGUUACAUUUAGAGUUAGGAUUAUUGUUAGGGUUAGGGUUAUUUUUAGUGUUAGUGAAAGUUUUAGGAUUAGUUAUAGGUUUGGGGUUAGUAUUAGGGUUAGGGUUAGGGUUAGGUUUACAGUUAAAGUUAGGGUUAGUGUUGGGAUAGUGUAAAGUUUAUAGUUAGUGUUAGAAUAAGGGUUAGGCUUAGCAUUAGGGUUAGUGUUAGGGUUUGGGUUAGCGUUAGAGUAAACUUUAUGGUUAGGGUUAAAGUUGGUGUUAGGUUUUGGUUUAGGGUUAGUUUUUUAGUUAUAGUUAGGGUUAGUGUCAGAAUUAUGAUUAGGGUUAGGAUUAGGAAUAGUGUUAGGGUUAAUGUUAGUGUUAGGGUUAGGGUUUGUGUUAGGGUUAGCAUUAGGGUUAGGAUUUGUUUUAGGAUUAUAGGGUUAUGGUUGGAUUAUGGUUAGAGUUAGGGUUAGGGUGAGGGUUAGGUUUAAGGGUAGGGUUAGUGUUAGUGUCAGGGUUAUGGUUAGGGUUAGGGUUAAUGUUAAAGGUAAGUUUAGUGUUAGGUUUACCAUUAGGGUUAGGUUUUGGGUUAGUACUAAACUUAGGGUUCGUAUUAGGUAUGGUUUAUAGUGAGGGUUAGGUUACUUUUAGCUUUAUGGUUUCGGUUAGGGCUUGUGUUAGGGUUACGGUAAGGAUUAGAGAUAGGGUUAAGGUUAUAAUUAGGGUUAUAGUUAGGUUUAGGGUUAGGGUUUGUGUUAGUUUAGGGUUAGUGUUAGUGUAAGUGUUUGGGUUAGGUUUAGUGUUAAGGUUAGGGUUAGUGUUAGGAUUAGUGUUUGUUUUAGGGUUAGGUUUAGGAUUAGUUUAAGUUUUAGGAUUAGAGUUGGGGUUUGUUUUAUGAUUAGUGUUAAUUUUAGGUUAGGAUUAUGAUUACAG
Molecule: long non-coding RNA, 1451 nt
Filed under: Marmota monax (woodchuck)
Lineage: Eukaryota; Metazoa; Chordata; Mammalia; Rodentia; Sciuridae
Source: RNAcentral